Molecule: ribosomal RNA, 39 nt
Filed under: Curvularia spicifera
Lineage: Eukaryota; Fungi; Ascomycota; Dothideomycetes; Pleosporales; Pleosporaceae
Description: partial 18S ribosomal RNA
Source: RNAcentral
GUACAGGUCUCCGUAGGUGAACCUGCGGAGGGAUCAUUA